UACGGAGGGUGCAAGCGUUAUCCGGAUUUACUGGGUUUAAAGGGUGUGUAGGCGGGCCUUUAAGUCAGUGGUGAAAUCUUCGGGCUCAACCCGGAAACUGCCAUUGAUACUAUUGGUCUUGAAUCUUGUUGAGGUGGGCGGAAUACAUCAUGUAGCGGUGAAAUGCUUAGAGAUGAUGUAGAACACCGAUUGCGAAGGCAGCUCACUAAGCAAGUAUUGACGCUGAGGCACGAAAGCGUGGGGAUCAAACAGG
Molecule: ribosomal RNA, 253 nt
Filed under: uncultured bacterium
Lineage: Bacteria
Description: partial 16S ribosomal RNA
Rfam family: Bacterial small subunit ribosomal RNA
Source: RNAcentral